UCUGGUUGAUCCUGCCAGUAGUCAUACGCUCGUCUCAAAGAUUAAGCCAUGCAUGUGUAAGUAUAAAUAGUUAACUUUGAAACUGCGAAUGGCUCAUUAUAUCAGUUAUAGUUUAUUUGAUGAAGAAUACUAAUUGGAUAACCGUAGUAAUUCUAGAGCUAAUACAUGUAUAAAGUCUUGUAGACUGCAUUUAUUAGAAUGAAAACCAUAGGUUUCGGCCUAUUCGUGAGUAAUAAUAACUAAUCAUAUCGUAUGCUUAUGUAACGAUGUGUCUUUCAAGUUUCUGCCCUAUCAGCUUUCGAUGGUAGUGUAUUGGACUACCAUGGCAGUAACGGGUAACGAAGAAUUUGGGUUCGAUUUCGGAGAGGGAGCCUGAGAGAUGGCUACCACAUCCAAGGAAGGCAGCAGGCGCGUAAAUCACCCAAUCCUGACACAGGGAGGUAGUGACAAUAAAUCACAAUGCGGAACAAUGUUUUGCAAUUGGAUUGAGAACAACGUACAAACCUUAUCGAUAAACAAUUGGAGGGCAAGUCUGGUA
RNAcentral lists this ribosomal RNA (538 nucleotides) under uncultured eukaryote. RNAcentral's name for it is "SSU rRNA". It matches the Rfam family "Eukaryotic small subunit ribosomal RNA", at positions 1 to 566 of the family's 1831-position model. The record is from RNAcentral.